Molecule: ribosomal RNA, 491 nt
Filed under: uncultured bacterium
Lineage: Bacteria
Description: partial 16S ribosomal RNA
Rfam family: Bacterial small subunit ribosomal RNA
Source: RNAcentral
AGUGAACGCUGGCGGUAGGCCUAACACAUGCAAGUCGAACGGCAGCACAGUAAGAGCUUGCUCUUACGGGUGGCGAGUGGCGGACGGGUGAGGAAUACAUCGGAAUCUACUUUUUCGUGGGGGAUAACGUAGGGAAACUUACGCUAAUACCGCAUACGACCUACGGGUGAAAGCAGGGGAUCUUCGGACCUUGCGCGAUUGAAUGAGCCGAUGUCGGAUUAGCUAGUUGGCGGGGUAAAGGCCCACCAAGGCGACGAUCCGUAGCUGGUCUGAGAGGAUGAUCAGCCACAGAGGAGCUGAGACACGGUCCAGACUCCGACGGGAGGCAGAGGUGGGGAAUAUUGGACAGUGGGCGCAAGCCUGAACCAGGCGUACCGCGUGGGUGAAGAAGGCCUUCGGGUUGUAAAGCCCUUUUGUUGGGAAAGAAAAGCAGCAGGUUAAUACCCCGCUGUUCUGACGGUACCCAAAGAAUAAGCACCGGCUAACUUCGU